Molecule: ribosomal RNA, 193 nt
Filed under: Galanthus angustifolius
Lineage: Eukaryota; Viridiplantae; Streptophyta; Magnoliopsida; Asparagales; Amaryllidaceae
Description: 5.8S ribosomal RNA
Rfam family: 5.8S ribosomal RNA (bases 136-193)
Source: RNAcentral
UGCAUGUUGUGUGGGACAAUUAGCUGGAACAAAGUUUUGGUGUAGUCCGCGCCAAGGAGCUACCUUGUUUGGAUAGAGUAGUGCGUGACAAGUACAUUGCAGUCCGUGACACGAUCCUGGUACAUUAACUUGCAUGACUCUUGGCAAUGGAUAUCUUGGCUCUUGCGUCGAUGAAGAACGUAGUGAAAUAUGU